RNAcentral lists this small nucleolar RNA (111 nucleotides) under Arabidopsis lyrata subsp. lyrata. RNAcentral describes it as "Plant small nucleolar RNA R71". It matches the Rfam family "Plant small nucleolar RNA R71". Rfam says of the family: R71 is a member of the C/D box family of snoRNAs containing the C (UGAUGA) and D (CUGA) box motifs. Lineage: Eukaryota; Viridiplantae; Streptophyta; Magnoliopsida; Brassicales; Brassicaceae. The record is from Rfam by way of RNAcentral.
AAGCCAUGGUGAGGACAAUCGCGUUUGUAGUCCUUGAAACAUUCCUAUGUUUCGUAAAAAGAUUCAACAUGUCCUUGUUAGAAUCCUUACAACUUGUUUUGCAGUGAGUUG